AGCUGGGGAAAGGUUUUAUUUUUAGAAAGCAGGCACACAGGAGUACACAAGGCCAACUCAGGGUCAGCCACAGGGUGUUUUGCCAAAAAGGCUGUGGGCCAGCAGGGCCGUGUGACUCAGCCCAGCCUUGUGGUCAGGAGGGUCCUGCACCAGCCCAUCAGAUCUACGCUCCUCCACAACGUCUGGACUUCGAAGAUACACUUCACUUCCCCCUUCCUCCCCGCAGUGCCUCUCAUCCCAUGAUGUAAAGUGAAAAGGACUUCAAAGGUUUGCUCAGACUCUGUGGGAUCUCCAUGUUGUGUCUACCCGCCUCUCCUCCGCGAAUGCGUUGUGGGCCCCUGGAUAGCUAAGGUGCCACCUGCCAAAGCGGCCUGUUUAGGAAAUCUAACAAAAACACUGUGAAAUCCUGUUUGAUCUCAGCCAUUGUUCACUGCUAAUUCCACAGGACAGGAAAACAGAGUUUGUUUGAAGACAGGAAUGAUCCUGGACCUGAGCUCUCAUCUGCAGAGGAGAAAUGAAGCAACAUCAUUUGACCUCAAACUCACUGCUGUAAGAAAACAUGACUCUUGGAAAUCCAGAUUUACAAAAUGAUCCACUUGCCAAAAGAACUACAGUGACAGAACACUACGCAACUACAAACACAGGUGUGGAAAUAAAACCUAUUAAGA
This is a long non-coding RNA of Chinchilla lanigera (long-tailed chinchilla), 668 nucleotides long. RefSeq lists it as uncharacterized. Lineage: Eukaryota; Metazoa; Chordata; Mammalia; Rodentia; Chinchillidae. The transcript is spliced from 6 exons. The record is from RefSeq and is a predicted model, not a curated record.